Long non-coding RNA from Dermacentor andersoni, 5387 nucleotides. RefSeq lists it as uncharacterized. The record is from RefSeq and is a predicted model, not a curated record. Lineage: Eukaryota; Metazoa; Arthropoda; Arachnida; Ixodida; Ixodidae.
UGAGAGGCAUAACUUAGUUGUCUGUUACUCUACUGAGAAGUGUGACGGGAUCAUAACAUGGGAGGUAGGGGGUCGACACUCGACAAUAGAUUAUGCGUUAAUGUCACAUAGCAUGUACGAUAGAUUAGGAGCCAUGAUUAUAGAUGAACAGGGCUCCAGAAGUAUAGGUACCGACCGCAAACGUAUCAAGUUGAGUUUUAAGAGGGAAACUAAAGCACGAACGAGGGGUGAGGAACAGCUAGAUCAGAUUUUUUACUCAGGAGAGCAAGUGGAAAUAGCGGCCAAACAGAUUGAAGAGGAAAUAUCAGAGGGUACUGAAACUGACUCGACUUACCCAAAAUUAACGAGACUAUUUGAGCGUGAGCUAGGUAAGGUGCGAGUGAGGAGAACAGGGCAAGGGAUACAAAAACUCAAGAGCUGGUGGGAUGAACAGGUUAAGAGGCCAUAAAGAAAUGUCAGGAAGCCCCCAGGGAACACAGGCAUUCCAAAAGUAAGGGAGAACCUGAAACACAAGUACAUAGAAAAUGGGAAAACUACAUAAAAUGCAGUAGGGAAGCAUCCUAUUUGAUGAAUGAGAAAAUUAAGACAAAAGGGCCCGAAGGCUGUCAGAAGUAAGCAAUAAAAAAGAUAAACAGGCAGCUAGGAAAUUCUGGCAACAUCUGAACUCCUUGGGUAAUAGGACAAGCCUAGAGCAGAGAUAUAUAGUAACAGCUCAAGGUACUCGGUUAGGAGGAGAGGAGGCAAUGGAGCAUAUAGGAACCAUGAUGAGGGAAAAAUUUAAAGAACAGAGAAAUGGUACAUGCAGUAUGUCGGAGAGGGAUAGCCCGGUCAAUCCACUGCUUUUGCUUGGACAAAGAGAGUGGGAAAGGGCCGAGAAGAGGGUACCAAGUAGCACAUCGGCAGGCCUGGAUGGUAUUCCAAUUAUGUUAAUAAAGAAAUUGGGCCCGAAAUCUAAGAAAGCAUUAAGGGAGGUGGUGAGCAAAAUGUUAAUGGAUGGUAAAGUACCUGACAAAUGGAGGCUAAGUAGGAUGAGAAUGGUAUAUAAGGGAAAGGGGGACAAAGCUGACAUAAAUAACUACCAGCCUAUAACAGUGACGUCAGUGGUUUACAGGGUGGUUAUGCAGAUUAUAAAGGACAGACUGGAGGCAUGGGUAGAGAGCGAGUGGGUGCUUGGAGAGCUACAAAAUGGGUUCCGGAAGCAUAGGAGGCUAGACGACAAUCUGUUCUCACUGACACAGUACAUUGAAAUAGCUGAAAAGGAACACAGACUCCUAUGGCUGGCUUUCUUGGAUAUCAAGGGAGCCUAUGACCGUGUACUUCAAGAGGGCUUGUGGGGCAUUCUGGAAACUUUAGGAGUGCAAGAUGGAAUUACCAAUUUCUUAAAAGAUAUGUAUAAAUGUAACCGGGUGAUUAUAUAAUGGUAAACGCAGGUUUUGGAGCCUGUAAUGAUUCGGCGAGGAAUUAGGCAGGGGUGUCCAUUGUCACCUCUGUUGUUUAUGCUGUACCUACAAGGAUUAGAGGCCAAAAUACAACAAAGUGGACUCGGCUUCAACCUAUCGUUUUUCAAACAAGGAAAAUUGAUUGAACAGUCAUUACCAGGACUGAUGCAUGCGGAUGAUAUUGUAUUAAUGGCUGACAAUACAGAAGACCUGCAGGGAUUGAUGGACAUAUGUGGUACAGAAGGAGACAGAUUAGGCUUGAAGUUUACCAAAGGAAAAUCAGCAGUCAUGAUUUUUAAUGAUAGCAUUUGCGGCGAGCACAGGAUACAGGAGGCCACACUCGAGAUAGUCGAUAAGUACAAGUAUCUCGGGGUGUGGAUAAAUAAUGGAAUUGAGUAUCUCACAGAGUAUGAAAAAUAUGUAACGACUAAAGGUAACAGAAGUGCAACAAUUAUGAAGAGUAGGGCAGUGUGGAACUACAAUAGGUACGAGGUAGUACAAGGGAUAUGGAAGGGGGUAAUGGUUCCGGGCCUGACUUUUGCCAAUGCAGUUCUAUGUAUGAGAGCAGAUACCCGGGUACAGUUGGAAACUAGGCAACAUGGUAUGAGUAGGCUCGCUUUGGGAGCACAUGGCAAGACACCAAAUCUUGGGGUGCAGGGGGAUCUGGGAUGGUCUUCUUUCGAGGGCAGAAAGGCCAGUAGCAAGAUAGCAUUUGAGGAGCGAUUGAGAAAAAUGAAGGAAAUGCGGUGGGCUAGGAAGGUUUUCAGUUACUUAUACACAAGGAAUGUUGACACAAGGUGGAGGAAGCGAACUAGAAAAUUGUGAAGGAAAUACUUGGGCAGGAGUGGGGAGACAGGUAAGGAAUCAUCUGUCAAGAAAAAGGUUAAGGAGACCGAGAGGCGUAUGUGGAAAACAGAGAUGCAAACCAAAUCGGCAUUAGAGACAUACAGGACAUUUAAGCAAGAAAUAGUCAGAAAAUAUUUACAAAAACGCUAAGGGAAGCUCAUUGUUGUGUGAGGACAGGUGUACUGCGGACUAAAAUUUACCGAGCCACAUACCAGGAGAUAGACUUGUGCUGGGCGUAUGGAGAGAAGGAGGAAAUGGCUGAACACUUAAUACUUGUAAACGACUUCACCCUGCAGUUGAAUGUAACAGGGAACUAUUCAAAGUUAUGGGUUUUAAAAACAGUGAAGGUAAAAUAAACUUUGAACAGGUAGAAAUAACUAAACGGAGGCUAUCUUAUUGGUGGAUAAUAUCAACACACAAGUAAAGGAAUAAGUACAUAGGUAUGCAUGCAUAUAGUAUCAUUGAAGGCGCGCCACCCAAUUCAAAGGGUUGAGCCUCAUUCAUCCAUCCACCCAAAAAGAAAAGGCGCCCCAUCUAGUGUCAGCAGUAACAACGACCUGCUGAACCGUGACCUAAGUUGCGAUGAAACGUCUGCAGUCGGGAUAGGCAUCGAUAUUGAGUCUGCGAAAACAGAGCCAGGAUCAGUGGAAAUCCAGGAGUGGGAUGGCACUGCCACCAAAGCUGCAUGUUGCCCAUUGGAAAGCUUGUGGGAUGACAUACCACAUCCAUUUCUGCUUUUUGAUUCACGGGCACAACAUAUACAUGAGCCUGACGGGGUGAAGAGCGUCGACAUCGAGUCAGUGAAAACGCAGUCAGGACCAGAGCAAAUGCAGGAGGAUGACGCCAAUGCCACAAAAGCUACUUGUUGGUUGUUUGGAAGCUUGUACGGCGACAUACCACUUUCAUUUGUACCUUCCGAUUCAAGGGGACACCGUAUACUUGAGCUUGACGGGGGAAGAGUGUCGACAUGGAGUUUGCAAAAAGCACACUCGGGACAAGAAAUUAAGGAAGAGAACGCCACUGCUACAAAAGCUGCUUGUGCACCGUUCGAAAGCUUGUGUGGCGACGUCAUUUCUGCCUUCUGAUUUGUGGGGACACCAUAUGCUCGAGCUUGACGGGGUGAAAAGUGUCGUAUUUUCACAAAUGAAAAGCGCGAAGAAACUUGAUUAUGCCUUGUCAGAUAAAUCCUCGGUACCACGCACCACUACGACAUUUGUCAACCCCAGGAUCACGGAAAUCGAUGAAAAAAUGAAUGCAAAGGUGGUGUUAAUGGGUCAGUCCGUUCCCUUGUCAAGGCUGCAAUACACGGGUUCUUUGGCUACUACGGAAGAAGUCGGAGCGCUUCUCAAGCAUGUGGUCGAAAUCAGUAUCUGCAGUAGUGGGCCCACCUUUCUCAAAUUCUAACAUGUUGAGCCAGAAAGUGCAUAUACUGAUAUUUGCCACAAAUGGCGCCACAAAAAAUGCUCCAUGAUCCUCAGCGGGUAUUCCCUGUCAUGUGAAAAGUGCCGCAAUCUCUCGAACACGCUGCAAACCAGACAAAAAAGGAUGGAAGAGAAGAAAUGCCAGUCAAAGCCAGGCCGUCUUCGUCUUCCUUCUUCACAGUGGAAAAAUGUCAAUGUUGAAGCACUACGCCACACAAAUUAUGCUUUGAAAAGGCAGAAAAAUUGUCUGCUAAGGCGAUUCAAUGGACCUUUUAAAUGAGGUCAAACAAGCACAUAAUCGACUGCAGCUGGUGUCAGAAGGAAUUGAGAGCAUUCUGAGCAGGCUCGACUUCCCUGUGACACAGCUGGCUGUGGUCAAGGAGUGCAUUGUAGCUGCCAAAGUGGCGGAAAAAAAAAGAAAGCUGUCGGUAUAUGUAAGAAUGGCUACUGAUGGGUCUCCUGCUACAUAUCCGCAGCCCAUCAGCAUGCUCUUUCCUCAGAGGCAACAAUUUUCUACCUCUUCCUUGUGCAGCAACUGUGCCGAAAUACUUAAGCAUGGUGUGUGUUAAGUGUGGCUUCGACACGAGGUUCUUUGCAGCAUGCAAGAAGAAAAUGGCAACAAAAGACAAGUUUCAACGACAUGGCAUACUUGUUUUUGACGAGAUGAAAGAGGAAAGAAAUGAGGGCAUAUGCUGAGUCAAUGACUUACAGUGGCUUCAGUGACUUUGGGGACACUGCAACUGCGAGCGAUGACCUUGUAGACCAUGGGCUGGUUUUUGCUUUCCGUUCCUUUGACCAUUAUUCCCAGCCUAUUGCUGUUUUCGCAAGUAAAGGACCGACGAAUGGAACAAUCCUUGUGCAGCUUAUCUUAAAGGCUAUUUUUCGCUUGAGGAGGCUGGUGCUUUCGUGGAUGGAACUGUUUGUAAUGGUGCUAGCACCAAUGGGGUCUUGGAAAGCGUUCACAGUAAGUGCUUCAUGACUGCUGGAGGCACUCCCUGCAACCGCUUGGCUGUAGCCACUGGUCGAGCACCCAAGCGGAAUCUGCCUAGCACACGGGGCACCAUGGCUGACAUAUUCAAGGGCAAACCUGUACUCAAGAAGAACGGCAAGUCGUUUCUGGCCAACCAGACGCUCCACGACAAGCAGCUCAUCUGCCUCUACUUCGCCGUGCAGUGGUGUCCACCAUGCCACAUGUUCACACCCGUCCUGGUCAACGUCUACGAGGAAUGCAAAGGAGGAUAAUCUGACCAUCGAGGUCCAAGAAGGCCCAGCCUUUCCACCAGUCGAGCUCAAUCACGCCUCCUUCAAGCAACACAAUAAAGGGUGAUGUCAACAUGUUCGUGGCUUCAGUGUUCCACCAGUCACAUAACUCAUCUAGGCGCUGGUCGGGGACCACUUCCCGAGCACCUCGAAGCAGCAGUGCCCACCGAGGCCUAGAUCCACGCCGAAGGCUACAGCCGAGGUCCCAUACCAAUUCACCAUGGCCGAGGAGCGUCGGGAAAUCUGUGGACAGCGCUCGGGGAGGAGACAAAAGACACUCACACGUAGUGACACAAUCUUGAUUUUAAAGAAACAAAUAAAAAGAAAUCACCCACACAAAUUGUACUGGUAUAGAGGGUCCUUCAAUCACUGUGAUUUCAUUUAAAAGUACAAAUAAAGAGAAACACAGAGUGAAAUUGUA